Molecule: unclassified non-coding RNA, 389 nt
Filed under: uncultured fungus
Lineage: Eukaryota; Fungi
Description: partial contains small subunit ribosomal RNA, internal transcribed spacer 1, and 5.8S ribosomal RNA
Rfam family: Eukaryotic small subunit ribosomal RNA (bases 1-73)
Source: RNAcentral
GCAAACUUGGUCAUUUAGAGGAAGUAAAAGUCGUAACAAGGUUUCCGUAGGUGAACCUGCGGAAGGAUCAUUACUGAAGUAAAUGGAGGUUGUAGCUGGCUUUUCGAAGCAUGUGCACGCCUUCAACAUCUUCUCUUUACCACCUGUGCACUUUUUGUAGUUCCAAGUAUAAAUCAUUAUGCUAUUCAACUUGGAGUUUGCAUUCAUUUGCUAUCUCUGUUCUUUUGAUUAGUAUGUUGUAGGGAGAUUUAUUCUCCUGUAUACUUGGUUCUAUGCUUUUACAAUCACUGUAUAACCAUGAAUGUAUUGCAGGUCGAAGGACCUUUAUAAUCUUAUAUACAACUUUCAGCAACGGAUCUCUUGGCUCAUGCAUCGAUGAAGAACGCAGC